This 207-nucleotide non-coding RNA is filed under the name unclassified sequences. RNAcentral describes it as "raiA RNA". It matches the Rfam family "raiA RNA". The record is from Rfam by way of RNAcentral.
GCGCAGUGGGUCUGUGGUUGAAAGUCGAUGCCAGUCGCAGGCGAAGCGAUCCACGUAAGCGGGAAAUAUUUCCGUGAUCAUAGUGCGGCCUAGAUGUAAGUCCAACCGGAGCGAUCCGAGAGGGGUAGUAGUGGGGAGCGAAAUCAGCUUAUGAGCGAACCUUCCAGUUGGCGGGUGUGGGGUUAAAAACCAGGUCAGACACUGCGG